AGAGUUUGAUCCUGGCUCAGGAUGAACGCUGGCUGCGUGCUUAACACAUUCAAGUCAAACGAAGCUACUUUGGUUAAUCCUUCUGGAAGCGCUGAUAUAGCUUAGAGGCGGACGGGUGAGUAACGCGUGAGUAACCUGCCUUAAUGAGGGGGAUAACACUUGGAAACGGGUGCUAAUACCGCAUAAAGUAUUGAUUUCGCAUGGGAAUAAUACCAAAGCUGACGCGCAUUAAGAUGGGCUCGCGUCCGAUUAGACAGUUGGUGAGGUAACGGCUCACCAAAUCAACGAUCGGUAGCCGGACUGAGAGGUUGAACGGCCACAUUGGAACUGAGAGACGGUCCAGACUCCUACGGGAGGCAGCAGUGGGGAAUAUUGGGCAAUGGGCGAAAGCCUGACCCACCGACGCCGCGUGAGGGAAGAAGGUCUUCGGAUUGUAAACUUUAUUUAUCUGGGAAGAAGCAAGUGACGGUACCUGAAGAGAAAGCCACGGCUAACUACGUGCCAGCAGCCGCGGUAAUAGGUAGGUGGCGAGCGUUAUCCGGAAUUACUGGGUGUAAAGGGUGUGUAGGCGGGAUAGCAAGUCAGAUGUGAAAAUUAUGGGCUUAACCCAUAACCUGCAUUUGAAAUCUGUUAUUCUUGAGUGUAGGAGAGGUAAAUGGAAUUCCCGGUGUAGCGGUGAAAGGCGUAGAUAUCGGGAGGAACACCAGUGGAGAAGGCGGUUUACUGGACGACAACUGACGCUGAGACACGAAAGCGUGGGGAGCAAACAGGAUUAGAUACCCUGGUAGUCCACGCUGUAAAC
This 802-nucleotide ribosomal RNA is filed under the name uncultured bacterium. RNAcentral's name for it is "bacterial SSU rRNA". It matches the Rfam family "Bacterial small subunit ribosomal RNA", at positions 8 to 807 of the family's 1533-position model. The record is from RNAcentral.